Molecule: transfer RNA, 73 nt
Filed under: compost metagenome
Description: tRNA-Trp
Rfam family: tRNA
About the family: Transfer RNA (tRNA) molecules are approximately 80 nucleotides in length. Their secondary structure includes four short double-helical elements and three loops (D, anti-codon, and T loops).
Source: RNAcentral
GACGGUUUAGUGUAACGGUAGCACGACGGACUCCAAAUCCGUUAGUUAAGGUUCAAAUCCUUAAACCCUCGCC